CGCAAGCCUGACGGAGCAACGCCGCGUGUGGGAGGACGGCCUUCGGGUUGUAAACCACUUUUCUCAGGGAAGAAGGACUGACGGUACCUGAGGAAUAAGCCUCGGCUAACUCCGUGCCAGCAGCCGCGGUAAUACGGAGGAGGCAAGCGUUAUCCGGAAUUAUUGGGCGUAAAGCGUCCGCAGGCGGCGAUUCAAGUCUGCUGUCAAAGCACGGGGCUUAACUCCGUUAAGGCAGUGGAAACUGAAUGGCUAGAGUGCCGUAGGGGUAGAGGGAAUUCCCGGUGUAGCGGUGAAAUGCGUAGAGAUCGGGAAGAACACCGGUGGCGAAAGCGCUCUACUGGGUCGCACCUGACCCUCAGGGACGAAAGCUAAGGUAGCG
Molecule: ribosomal RNA, 379 nt
Filed under: uncultured cyanobacterium
Lineage: Bacteria; Bacillati; Cyanobacteriota
Description: bacterial SSU rRNA
Rfam family: Bacterial small subunit ribosomal RNA
Source: RNAcentral